UUUAAGAAUUAAAUUUAAAGUCUAACCUGCCCACUGAAAAUUUUAAAUGGCCGCAGUAUUUUAACUGUGCAAAGGUAGCAUAAUCAUUAGUCUUUUAAUUGAAGGCUGGAAUGAAUGGUUAUUUGAGAUAUUAACUGUUUCAAAAAAAUUUGUAAUAUAAUUUUAUUUUUUAGUGAAAAAGCUAAAAUUUUUUUAAAAGACGAGAAGACCCUAUAAAUCUUAAUAUUUUAUUUAUUUUAAUUAUUUAGAAAAAUUAAAUUAUUAUUAAAAAAAUAUUUUAUUGGGGUGAUAUUAAAAUUUUAUAAACUUUUAAUUUUAAAAUUUACAUUAAUUAAUGAGUUUUUGAUCCAUAAAUUAUGAUUAAUAAAUUAAGUUACUUUAGGGAUAACAGCGUAAUUUUUUUAGAGAGUUCAUAUUGAUAAAAA
This 425-nucleotide ribosomal RNA is filed under the name Megaselia ignobilis. RNAcentral describes it as "partial 16S ribosomal RNA". Lineage: Eukaryota; Metazoa; Arthropoda; Insecta; Diptera; Phoridae. The record is from RNAcentral.